Molecule: long non-coding RNA, 1426 nt
Filed under: Macaca fascicularis (crab-eating macaque)
Lineage: Eukaryota; Metazoa; Chordata; Mammalia; Primates; Cercopithecidae
Description: lncRNA (ENSMFAG00000053485.1)
Source: RNAcentral
CUUGUGCCAGAGGAUAGUUUUUAAAAUAUAAAUUAAACAUGGAACAUCUUUUUGAAACAUUAGCUCACCUCCAAAUUUGGCAGAGGUGUUUUUAUAUUAAAACAAAGAUUUAUUAUGGAGUCGAUUACAAAAUUUGCAUGAAUUUUUAGGUGAAAGACUGAGUCUCUUAUUUCAAAGACUUCAGAUAGAGAGAGGGCAGGACGAGGUUGGGCUGUAACCAGGAGUUGACCUUUCCAGGUCUCUGAAUGCUUGUAACCAGUUUAUAACCCCAGGCUGGAGACUGAAGGUUUCUUCUUGGAGAAAGUCCCAGAGAAGAGGCAAUCUUUAAUAACAUUUGGGGAACCCACCCUCAAGUAAGAAAGCAGGGUUCCCACCUCAUCUGUUGUUUCUGCCCUACUAGUAAACACUAAUGAACAGGACAGAAUCGCCAGAGUCUUGGACAUGAGGGGUUUGCCCUCAGUUCUAUGUCUACCUCCUUGAAGUCUGUCUUGCUGUACUCUAAAACCUGGAAAGCUAAAAGUGACAUUUCCCAGAUUUCCUUGCAACCAGGGUAUGAGAAGAGAUUUGGGUUCCAUCAAUAGGAGGCAUCUGGCAAUUUUGGAAGGUGGAAGGGAGGUAGAGGUCAUCUUCCUAAUGCUUAGGGCUAUCUUUUCUGCCAGCAAGCAAGGUGAUGAAAGCUUCAGACAACAGUCUUCCCAGGACCAGUCUCCAGCUUUGUGAGAGGUGGUAGUGAGCUGUUGCAGUGAACUGGGCCCUGGAUCACAUCUUUGACAAAAUGUUCGUGAAUUCAAUUCUUCCUGUUACAGCCUCCUGUCUCCCUGCCCCACUGGAUAUGGCAAAGGGAAGCCCACUGCCAUGUUGCAAGCUGUCCUGUGAAGAGGCCUCCAUGACAAGGAACUGUAGGGUCCCCUGGACAACAGCCAGCAAGGCAAUGAGACCCUUAGUCCAAUAGCCCACGAGGAACUGCAUCUUGCCAAGAACCACACAGAUGAGGUUGCAAAAAUAUUUAUUGAGCACCGGUGAUGUUCCAGGCGUGGUUUUUGGUGCUAGCAGGAGAGAAAACAACACCUGUGGCCUAAAGAGCUCAACCUGACCUGAAGAACUCAAGGGAAUCUUGAACUUGAGUGAGGCAGAAAAUGCAUCUUCCUUUUCACUAAACUUGCAAAAAUAUAGCAUUUUCUUCAAUUAUGAAUUUAGGCAACAAACCACACUAGUAUUAGCAGUGCCUGUGGCUUUGUUAUUAAUAAAAAUAAGUCUUUUCACAUCACAUUAUAGUUCUUUUGUAGGUCUAGAAAUAUUUAUUGGAAAUAGCAUUACCUUAAAAGUAGAAAUUGGGAGGCCACUUUUAGAUUCUGUUAUUUUAUGAAUUAACAAAUAAGCAUAUGUAAUCCUUGUAUCAUAAUUUUGAGGUUUCUUUUACAUUUUG